UGAAUCAUCGAAUCUUUGAACGCACAUUGCGCCCCUUGGUAUCCCGAGGGGCAUGCCUGUUCGAGCGUCAUU
RNAcentral lists this ribosomal RNA (72 nucleotides) under uncultured fungus. Its description in RNAcentral is "partial 5.8S ribosomal RNA". It matches the Rfam family "5.8S ribosomal RNA", at positions 85 to 154 of the family's 154-position model. From Rfam's summary of the family: 5.8S ribosomal RNA (5.8S rRNA) is a component of the large subunit of the eukaryotic ribosome. It is transcribed by RNA polymerase I as part of the 45S precursor that also contains 18S and 28S rRNA. Lineage: Eukaryota; Fungi. The record is from RNAcentral.